This 119-nucleotide ribosomal RNA is filed under the name Pteropus alecto (black flying fox). The record is from RNAcentral. Lineage: Eukaryota; Metazoa; Chordata; Mammalia; Chiroptera; Pteropodidae.
AACUAUGGCCAUGCCACCCUGAACGAGCCCGAUCCCGUCUGAUCUCGGAAGCUAAGCAGGGUCGGGCCUGGUUAGUACUUGGAUGGGAGACCGCUUAGGAAAACCAGGUGCUGUAGGCA